UGUGACUGCGUACCUUUUGUAUAAUGGGUCAGCGACUUAUAUUCUGUAGCAAGGUUAACCGUAUAGGGGAGCCGAAGGGAAACCGAGUCUUAACCGGGCGUUAAGUUGCAGGGUAUAGACCCGAAACCCGGUGAUCUAGCCAUGGGCAGGUUGAAGGUUGGGUAACACUAACUGGAGGACCGAACCGACUAAUGUUGAAAAAUUAGCGGAUGACCUGUGGCUGGGGGUGAAAGGCCAAUCAAACCGGGAGAUAGCUGGUUCUCCCCGAAAGCUAUUUAGGUAGCGCCUCGUGAAUUCAUCUCCGGGGGUAGAGCACUGUUUCGGCUAGGGGGCCAUCCCGGCUUACCAACCCGAUGCAAACUGCGAAUACCGGAGAAUGUUAUCACGGGAGACACACGGCGGGUGCUAACGUCCGUCGUGAAGAGGGAAACAACCCAGACCGCCAGCUAAGGUCCCAAAGUCAUGGUUAAGUGGGAAACGAUGUGGGAAGGCCCAGACAGCCAGGAUGUUGGCUUAGAAGCAGCCAUCAUUUAAAGAAAGCGUAAUAGCUCACUGGUCGAGUCGGCCUGCGCGGAAGAUGUAACGGGGCUAAACCAUGCACCGAAGCUGCGGCAGCGACACUGUGUGUUGUUGGGUAGGGGAGCGUUCUGUAAGCCUGUGAAGGUGGCCUGUGAGGGUUGCUGGAGGUAUCAGAAGUGCGAAUGCUGACAUAAGUAACGAUAAAGCGGGUGAAAAGCCCGCUCGCCGGAAGACCAAGGGUUCCUGUCCAACGUUAAUCGGGGCAGGGUGAGUCGACCCCUAAGGCGAGGCCGAAAGGCGUAGUCGAUGGGAAACGGGUUAAUAUUCCCGUACUUGGUGUUACUGCGAAGGGGGGACGGAGAAGGCUAUGUUGGCCGGGCGACGGUUGUCCCGGUUUAAGCGUGUAGGUGUGUGUUCCAGGUAAAUCCGGUUCACUUUAACACUGAGGCGUGACGACGAGGCACUACGGUGCUGAAGCAACAAAUGCCCUGCUUCCAGGAAAAGCCUCUAAGCAUCAGGUAACAUCAAAUCGUACCCCAAACCGACACAGGUGGUCAGGUAGAGAAUACCAAGGCGCUUGAGAGAACUCGGGUGAAGGAACUAGGCAAAAUGGUGCCGUAACUUCGGGAGAAGGCACGCUGACACGUAGGUGAAGUGAUUUACUCAUGGAGCUGAAGUCAGUCGAAGAUACCAGCUGGCUGCAACUGUUUAUUAAAAACACAGCACUGUGCAAACACGAAAGUGGACGUAUACGGUGUGACGCCUGCCCGGUGCCGGAAGGUUAAUUGAUGGGGUCAGCGCAAGCGAAGCUCCUGAUCGAAGCCCCGGUAAACGGCGGCCGUAACUAUAACGGUCCUAAGGUAGCGAAAUUCCUUGUCGGGUAAGUUCCGACCUGCACGAAUGGCGUAAUGAUGGCCAGGCUGUCUCCACCCGAGACUCAGUGAAAUUGAACUCGCUGUGAAGAUGCAGUGUACCCGCGGCAAGACGGAAAGACCCCGUGAACCUUUACUAUAGCUUGACACUGAACAUUGAGCCUUGAUGUGUAG
Molecule: ribosomal RNA, 1565 nt
Filed under: Salmonella enterica
Lineage: Bacteria; Pseudomonadati; Pseudomonadota; Gammaproteobacteria; Enterobacterales; Enterobacteriaceae
Description: partial 23S ribosomal RNA
Rfam family: Bacterial large subunit ribosomal RNA
Source: RNAcentral